UGGGGAAUAUUGCACAAUGGGGGAAACCCUGAUGCAGCGACGCCGCGUGGGUGACGAAGUAUUUCGGUAUGUAAAGCCCUAUCAGCAGGGAAGAAACUGACAGUACCUGACUAAGAAGCCCCGGCUAACUACGUGCCAGCAGCCGCGGUAAUACGUAGGGGGCAAGCGUUAUCCGGAUUUACUGGGUGUAAAGGGAGCGUAGGUGGCAUGGCAAGCCAGAAGUGAAAAACCCGGGGCUUAACUCCGUGGAUUGCUUUUGGAACUGUCAGGCUGGAGUGCAGGAGGGGCAGGCGGAAUUCCUGGUGUAGCGGUGAAAAUGCGUAGAUAUUAGGAGGAACACCAGUGGCGAAGGCGGCUUACUGGACGGUAACUGACGUUGAGGCUCGAAAAGCGUGGGGAGCAAAACAGGAUUAGAUACC
RNAcentral lists this ribosomal RNA (419 nucleotides) under uncultured bacterium. Its description in RNAcentral is "bacterial SSU rRNA". It matches the Rfam family "Bacterial small subunit ribosomal RNA", at positions 355 to 786 of the family's 1533-position model. The record is from RNAcentral.